This is a small nuclear RNA of Sapajus apella (tufted capuchin), 104 nucleotides long. The record is from RefSeq and is a predicted model, not a curated record. NCBI's taxonomy places the organism in Eukaryota, Metazoa, Chordata, Mammalia, Primates, Cebidae.
GUGUUUGCUUCGGCAGCACAUAUACUAACAUUGGAAUGAUACAGAGAUUAGCAUGGCCCCUGCGCAAGGAUAACAUGCAAAUUCAUGAAGCACUCCAUAUUUUU